RNAcentral lists this long non-coding RNA (1172 nucleotides) under Felis catus (domestic cat). RNAcentral describes it as "lncRNA (ENSFCAG00000047689.1)". The record is from RNAcentral. Lineage: Eukaryota; Metazoa; Chordata; Mammalia; Carnivora; Felidae.
AGCUCAUUUCCAAAAGGAAAUAACACCUGCCCCAAAUCUCCACCUGCCACGGCCACCUCUCUGAACCCCCAGCUGCCAGGGGCUGACAGUAAGUCACAGAAGCAUAUUGAUUUCUCAAGGGAAAGAUGAGCAAAGUGAAUACAGAACUCCUCCGUGCACAGGAUGAAAAACCUUGUCCAGGAAGGAAAAUGAGAGGCCACGUAUUCCAGAGGGCAGGCCUACGAAAUGGUGGAGCCCUGCCUGGACCUGCAUCAUCACUGAAUGAACAGGAUGACCAACACCCCGAUUUGCCUUGGGACGCUGGAGUUCCGGGUGUCAGGACUGUCAGCAAGAUCCUGACAUGGUGAUGACGAAGAAUGAAACAAUAAGAAGUUGAAUUACAUUGUACAAGACGCGAAUGUCACGGAGAAUACCUGAUUUCACAUUUUCAUCAUCACAAAAGGCUGGUUUCCCCAGCGUCUGAUCUUACGUGUGGUAUAUAUUAACAUUCUGAAUGUCUUGAAUUUAAGAGGUGAAAAAAAAUACUAAUAUUAUCUACUUUCUUUUUUUAAAAUUUUUUUUAAUGUUUAUUGAUUUUUGAGAGAGACAGAGACAGGAUGCGAGGGGGUUAGGGGCAGAGAGAGAGGGAGACGCAGAAUCCGAAGCAGGCUCCAGGCUCCGAGCUGUCAGCACAGAGCCCGACGCGGGGCUCGAACUCAUGAGCUGUGAGAUCGUGACCUGAGCCGAAGUCGGACGCUCAACCGACUGAGCCCCCCAGGCGCCCAAAUAUUAUCUACUUUCUUUAUUCAUGUUCCCUGUGAAGUUUUUUUUCCCCCAGAUUGUUUUUCUUUUUAAGAAGGAUCUUUCGGCUUGAUGACAGCAGUAACGAUGAUGGUGAGAGAGAUGAUAAUGACCAUGAGAACAUUUGAAAACACACCCGUGAACACUCACAGGUCUUUCAAGCCUGGGUUCAAACCUUACUUCUGCCGUUUACCAGCUGCCGACCUUGAGCAAGCGAGCUAAUGUGGUCUGUUUUCUUGUCAUAAAUUAAAAAUAACCCUGGGAAUGCAAGCUGGUGCAGCCACUCUGGAAAACAGCAUGGAGGUUCCUCAAAACACUAAAAAUACAACUACCCUACGACCCAGCAAGUGCACUACUAGGCGUUUAUACAAGGGAUACAGGGGUGCUGUUUC